GAUGAACGCUGGCGGCGUGCUUAACACAUGCAAGUCGAACGAUGAAGCCCAGCUUGCUGGGUGGAUUAGUGGCGAACGGGUGAGUAACACGUGAGUAACCUGCCCUUAACUCUGGGAUAAGCCUGGGAAACUGGGUCUAAUACCGGAUAGGAGCGUCCACCGCAUGGUGGAUGUUGGAAAGAUUUAUCGGUUUUGGAUGGACUCGCGGCCUAUCAGCUUGUUGGUGAGGUAAUGGCUCACCAAGGCGACGACGGGUAGCCGGCCUGAGAGGGUGACCGGCCACACUGGGACUGAGACACGGCCCAGACUCCUACGGGAGGCAGCAGUGGGGAAUAUUGCACAAUGGGCGCAAGCCUGAUGCAGCGACGCCGCGUGAGGGAUGACGGCCUUCGGGUUGUAAACCUCUUUCAGUAGGGAAGAAGCGAAAGUGACGGUACCUGCAGAAGAAGCACCGGCUAACUACGUG
RNAcentral lists this ribosomal RNA (466 nucleotides) under uncultured bacterium. RNAcentral describes it as "partial 16S ribosomal RNA". It matches the Rfam family "Bacterial small subunit ribosomal RNA", at positions 28 to 507 of the family's 1533-position model. The record is from RNAcentral.